RNAcentral lists this non-coding RNA (27 nucleotides) under Mus musculus (house mouse). The record is from RNAcentral. Lineage: Eukaryota; Metazoa; Chordata; Mammalia; Rodentia; Muridae.
UAGCAGCCAAAGACGGCGCACAGCAGG